AGCGAACGCUGGCGGCAGGCCUAAUACAUGCAAGUCGAACGGUCUCUUCGGAGGCAGUGGCGGACGGGUGAGUAACGCGUGGGAACGUGCCCUUUGGUACGGAACAACUGAGGGAAACUUCAGCUAAUACCGUAUGUGCCCUUCGGGGAAGAUUUAUCGCCAUUGGAGCGGCCCGCGUUGGAUUAGCUAGUUGGUGGGGUAAUGGCCCACCAAGGCGACGAUCCAUAGCUGGUCUGAGAGGAUGAUCAGCCACACUGGGACUGAGACACGGCCCAGACUCCUACGGGAGGCAGCAGUAGGGAAUCUUGCGCAAUGGGCGAAAGCCUGACGCAGCCAUGCCGCGUGAAUGAUGAAGGUCUUAGGAUUGUAAAAUUCUUUCACCGGGGACGAUAAUGACGGUACCCGGAGAAGAAGCCCCGGCUAACUUCGUGCCAGCAGCCGCGGUAAU
This 448-nucleotide ribosomal RNA is filed under the name uncultured bacterium. Its description in RNAcentral is "bacterial SSU rRNA". It matches the Rfam family "Bacterial small subunit ribosomal RNA", at positions 29 to 524 of the family's 1533-position model. The record is from RNAcentral.